GUCUGCGGCCAUGCUACCCUGAACAAGCCUGAUCCCAUCUGAUCUCAGAAGCUAAUAAGCAGGGGCGGGUCUGGUUAGUACUUGGAUGGGAGACCACCUACGAAGACCAGGGGCUGUAGGCA
Ribosomal RNA from Pteropus vampyrus (large flying fox), 122 nucleotides. Lineage: Eukaryota; Metazoa; Chordata; Mammalia; Chiroptera; Pteropodidae. The record is from Ensembl.